Molecule: long non-coding RNA, 155 nt
Organism: Sinocyclocheilus rhinocerous
Lineage: Eukaryota; Metazoa; Chordata; Actinopteri; Cypriniformes; Cyprinidae
Exons: 4
Source: RefSeq, a predicted model, not a curated record
GCAUGUGGCAUACCAUACAGUAAUUCCCAGAACUGAUUAAAGACAGUGACAGACCGCACUCAGUCAGUUCACUCAUUUUAACUAAAAAUCAGAGUGAUUGACAGAGAAUACAGUAGAAACAUUAUAUUAAUAAUGAAAUGCAUUUUAUUUCAUGG